Molecule: ribosomal RNA, 471 nt
Filed under: Flavobacterium sp. 01WB03.4-51
Lineage: Bacteria; Pseudomonadati; Bacteroidota; Flavobacteriia; Flavobacteriales; Flavobacteriaceae
Description: bacterial SSU rRNA
Rfam family: Bacterial small subunit ribosomal RNA
Source: RNAcentral
UGAGCUUGAUCCUGGCUCAGGAUGAACGCUAGCGGCAGGCUUAACACAUGCAAGUCGAGGGGUAUAGCACUUCGGUGCUAGAGACCGGCGCACGGGUGCGUAACGCGUAUGCAAUCUGCCUUUCACAGAGGGAUAGCCCAGAGAAAUUUGGAUUAAUACCUCAUAGUAUUAUGGAGUGGCAUCACUCUAUAAUUAAAGUCACAACGGUGAAAGAUGAGCAUGCGUCCCAUUAGCUAGUUGGUAAGGUAACGGCUUACCAAGGCAACGAUGGGUAGGGGUCCUGAGAGGGAGAUCCCCCACACUGGUACUGAGACACGGACCAGACUCCUACGGGAGGCAGCAGUGAGGAAUAUUGGACAAUGGGCGCAAGCCUGAUCCAUGCCAUGCCGCGUGCAGGAUGACCGGUCCUAUGGAAUUGUAAAUCUGCUUUUGUAGCGAGAAGAAACACUUCCUAUGUAUAGGAGCUGACCG